Molecule: long non-coding RNA, 514 nt
Organism: Anopheles funestus (African malaria mosquito)
Lineage: Eukaryota; Metazoa; Arthropoda; Insecta; Diptera; Culicidae
Exons: 3
Source: RefSeq, a predicted model, not a curated record
UGCUGAAAAAUGAGGAAAAUUUUACAUUUUCUCAAACAGGGUAUGGAACUUGGUUCCUCGAAUAACUUCUGGCACAGACAUCUGCGGACAUGGCCGUCCAAGAAGAAAAUGUAGCCAUUGGUGCCAUCUAUCGACCACAGGUUAAAGAUUGGCGAUCCGUUGGAUACCGACCGAGUUAUAGGCAAAACUUGGUGCAAAAAUGAGGAAAAUUUUACAUUUUCUCAAACAGGGUAUGGAACUUGUUUCCUCGAAUAACUUCUGGCACAGACAUCUGCGGACAUGGCCGUCUGAGAAGAAAAUGUAGCCAUUGGUGCCAUCUAUCGACCACAGGUUAAAGAUUGGCGAUCCGUUGGAUACCGACCGAGUUAUAGGCAAAACUUGGUGCAAAAAUGAGGAAAAUUUUACAUUUUCUCAAACAGGGUAUGGAACUUGUUUCCUCGAAUAACUUCUGGCACAGACAUCUGCGGACAUGGCCGUCUGAGAAGAAAAUGUAGCCAUUGGUGCCAUCUAUCGA